AGGACGAACGCUGGCGGCGUGCUUAACACAUGCAAGUCGAGCGGAAAGGCCCUUCGGGGUACUCGAGCGGCGAACGGGUGAGUAACACGUGAGCAACCUGCCCUUAGCUUCGGGAUAGCUCCGGGAAACCGGAAUUAAUACCGAAUAUGACUUUGGCUGACAUCAGCAGAAGUGGAAAGUUUUUCGGCUAGGGAUGGACUCGCGGCCUAUCAGCUAGUUGGUGAGGUAACGGCCCACCAAGGCGACGACGGGUAGCCGGCCUGAGAGGGCGACCGGCCACACUGGGACUGAGACACGGCCCAGACUCCUACGGGAGGCAGCAGUGGGGAAUAUUGCGCAAUGGGCGAAAGCCUGACGCAGCGACGCCGCGUGGGGGAUGAAUGCCUUCGGGUUGUAAACCCCUUUCAGCAGGGACGAAGCGAAAGUGACGGUACUGCAGAAGAAGCGCCGGCUAACUACGCGCCAGCAGCCGC
Molecule: ribosomal RNA, 473 nt
Filed under: uncultured bacterium
Lineage: Bacteria
Description: SSU rRNA
Rfam family: Bacterial small subunit ribosomal RNA
Source: RNAcentral